Molecule: microRNA precursor, 56 nt
Filed under: Mustela putorius furo (domestic ferret)
Lineage: Eukaryota; Metazoa; Chordata; Mammalia; Carnivora; Mustelidae
Description: miRNA (ENSMPUG00000022117.1)
Source: RNAcentral
GUCGGGACUGGGGUCCGGUGUGGAGAGCCCUCUCAUCCCUGGAAACAGGGUGUGGC